RNAcentral lists this ribosomal RNA (459 nucleotides) under uncultured bacterium. RNAcentral describes it as "bacterial SSU rRNA". It matches the Rfam family "Bacterial small subunit ribosomal RNA", at positions 30 to 493 of the family's 1533-position model. The record is from RNAcentral.
AUUGAACGCUGGCGGCAUGCCUUACACAUGCAAGUCGAACGGCAGCGGACCUUCGGGUGCCGGCGAGUGGCGAACGGGUGAGUAAUAUAUCGGAACGUACCUUUCAGUGGGGGAUAACGUAGCGAAAGUUACGCUAAUACCGCAUAUUCUGUGAGCAGGAAAGCAGGGGAUCGCAAGACCUUGCGCUGAUUGAGCGGCCGAUAUCAGAUUAGCUAGUUGGUGAGGUAAAGGCUCACCAAGGCGACGAUCUGUAGCGGGUCUGAGAGGAUGAUCCGCCACACUGGAACUGAGACACGGUCCAGACUCCUACGGGAGGCAGCAGUGGGGAAUUUUGGACAAUGGGCGCAAGCCUGAUCCAGCCAUGCCGCGUGAGUGAAGAAGGCCUGGUGUAAGACUCUUCGUCGGAGAAGUACGCACAGUAAGUACCUACGUGUGGAUGACGGUACCGGAAGUAAGAAG